GACGAACGCUGGCGGCGUGCUUAACACAUGCAAGUCGAACGGAAAGGCCCUGCUUGCAGGGUACUCGAGUGGCGAACGGGUGAGUAGCACGUGGGUGAUCUGCCCUGCACUUCGGGAUAAGCCUGGGAAACUGGGUCUAAUACCGGAUAUGACCUUCCAUGUAGUGUGGGGGGUGGAAAGAUUUAUCGGUGUGGGAUGAGCCCGCGGCCUAUCAGCUUGUUGGUGGGGUAAUGGCCUACCAAGGCGUCGACGGGUAGCCGGCCUGAGAGGGUGGACGGCCACAUUGGGACUGAGAUACGGCCCAGACUCCUACGGGAGGCAGCAGUGGGGAAUAUUGCACAAUGGGCGGAAGCCUUAUGCAGCGACGCCGCGUGGGGGAUGACGGCCUUCGGGUUGUAAACCUCUUUCGACAGGGACGAAGCUUCGGUGGCGGUACCUGUAUAAGAAGCACCGGCUAACUACGUG
RNAcentral lists this ribosomal RNA (465 nucleotides) under uncultured bacterium. RNAcentral's name for it is "partial 16S ribosomal RNA". It matches the Rfam family "Bacterial small subunit ribosomal RNA", at positions 28 to 507 of the family's 1533-position model. The record is from RNAcentral.